RNAcentral lists this ribosomal RNA (253 nucleotides) under uncultured bacterium. Its description in RNAcentral is "partial 16S ribosomal RNA". It matches the Rfam family "Bacterial small subunit ribosomal RNA", at positions 524 to 776 of the family's 1533-position model. The record is from RNAcentral.
UACAGAGGGUGCGAGCGUUAAUCGGAUUUACUGGGCGUAAAGCGUGCGCAGGCGGCUUUGCAAGACAGAUGUGAAAUCCCCGGGCUCAACCUGGGAACUGCAUUUGUGACUGCAAGGCUAGAGUACGGCAGAGGGGGAUGGAAUUCCGCGUGUAGCAGUGAAAUGCGUAGAUAUGCGGAGGAACACCAAUGGCGAAGGCAAUCCCCUGGGCCUGUACUGACGCUCAUGCACGAAAGCGUGGGGAGCAAACAGG